CCCUUAGAUGUCCUGGGCCGCGCGCGCGUUACACUGAUGCAUUCAACGAGCUUAUAACCUUGGCCGAGAGGCCUGGGCAAUCUUGUUAACGUGCAUCGUGAUAGGGAUAGAUUAUUGAAAUUAUUAAUCUUGAACGAGGAAUUCCUAGUAAACGCAGAUCAUCAAUCUGCAUUGAUUACGUCCCUGCCCUUUGUACACACCGCCCGUCGCACCUACCGAUUGGAUGGUCCGGUGAAGCCUCGGGAUUGUGGUUCUUGCCGCUUUGUUGUGGCGUGACCGCGAGAACUUGUCUAAACCUUAUCAUCUAGAGGAAGGUGAAGUCGUAACA
RNAcentral lists this ribosomal RNA (328 nucleotides) under uncultured eukaryote. Its description in RNAcentral is "partial 18S ribosomal RNA". It matches the Rfam family "Eukaryotic small subunit ribosomal RNA", at positions 1470 to 1796 of the family's 1831-position model. The record is from RNAcentral.